UAGGGAAUCUUCCGCAAUGGACGACAGUCUGACGGAGCAACGCCGCGUGAGUGAAGAAGGAUUUCGGUUCGUAAAACUCUGUUGUUAGGGAAGAAAAAAUGUAUAGUAACUAUAUACAAAAGAGACGGUACCUAACCAGAAAGCCACGGCUAACUACGUGCCAGCAGCCGCGGUAAUACGUAGGUGGCAAGCGUUGUCCGGAAUUAUUGGGCGUAAAGCGCGCGCAGGUGGUUUAGAAAGUCUGAUGUGAAAGCCCACGGCUCAACCGUGGAGGGUCAUUGGAAACUAAUAAACUUGAGUGCAGGAGAGAAAAGUGGAAUUCCUAGUGUAGCGGUGAAAUGCGUAGGGAUUAGGAGGAACACCGGUGGCGAAAGCGGCUUUUUGGCCUGCAACUGACACUGAGGCGCGAAAGCGUGGGGAGCAAACAGG
Molecule: ribosomal RNA, 429 nt
Filed under: Verrucomicrobiota bacterium
Lineage: Bacteria; Pseudomonadati; Verrucomicrobiota
Description: Verrucomicrobia bacterium partial 16S ribosomal RNA
Rfam family: Bacterial small subunit ribosomal RNA
Source: RNAcentral